CAGCGAUCUGUCUUCACCACCCUCCAGGGGAUUCUGCGGUGGACUCAGGUUUGAGAACAGAGGAUGCAUAAUACCAUGCCCUGGGUAACCUGAUGUGCUAGGCUGUUAGAACAAGGAGAACUGAGCUCAGAAGUAUCCGUACAUUCUAAAACAUUGUUGACUCUCCCUUUGGCAGAGAGCACUGACCAGUUGGCCCACAAUGCGUGUGUGUGGCAAGGGGUGAAGGGUUAAGAGGAGAAAGUUCUAUUCCCGGCAAGAACAAGAUGUUUCCUCUACCAGAAUUGGCGGGAGACAGCCAGCGCCCAGCCAGAGGGACCAGUCAAGGAAGAAUCCAGCCCCUCCCUGCACCAGGGUCGGUAUACAGGCGGGAUGCGCAGUUUGCGUAGUGCUGGCGGAGAUGCUUAUCAUAAGCCAGAGGACAACCCCCUUCUACGUUCAUCUGGAAUCACGGAGGUCAGCUGCCUCACACCUCAGGCCAAGAGAGGGAGUGGUGACACUGUGGCACUGAGAGAAUGAGGACUGACUCUGAAGGGCUGGCUAAUCCCUCCUGGGAGCAGGGAAUGAGGACAGUGCUGAAAGCAAUUUUGAAUGCUUUUGUUUGUGACCACCAAUUCUUUGUCAUUUUCCCCCUACAAAGUAUGUUACAAAGUAACCUGUGAGAUGACUGCAGUGAAAUUACAGGUUACAGCGAAAACAUGGUCAGGGCAAGGAGCUUCCCAGUGGGAAUACUUUCUUUUUCAUUUUAUAAAAAAAUAAAAGCUUUGUACUAAGAAAUUAAACUAUUUUUAUGUUUUGUACCUCACUGGUAUAUUAAAUACCGUUUAUUAAGAUGCUUUUAAUUCAGGAAAUGUUGAAAUGAAACAUUGGCCCCCUAGCAAAUCGAAUUUCGAUGAUUAAUUCUGACGUAGUGGACAGGAAUCACGGGAAGACACGUGCUGUGACUCAGAUUACAAGAAGAGCAGCAGCCACCCGUAGCGGCAGGGAGGCCGAGAGGAGACGGACGUCAGCGGAGGAGGGAACGG
RNAcentral lists this long non-coding RNA (1022 nucleotides) under Equus caballus (horse). RNAcentral describes it as "lncRNA (ENSECAG00000029074.2)". Lineage: Eukaryota; Metazoa; Chordata; Mammalia; Perissodactyla; Equidae. The record is from RNAcentral.